UACGUAGGCAGCGAGCGUUGUUCGGAGUUACUGGGCGUAAAGGGUGUGUAGGCGGUUCUUUAAGUUUGGUGUGAAAUCUCCCGGCUCAACCGGGAGGGUGCGCCGAAUACUGAGGGACUAGAGUGCGGGAGAGGAAAGUGGAAUUCCUGGUGUAGCGGUGAAGUGCGUAGAUAUCAGGAGGAACACCGGUGGUGUAGACGGCUUUCUGGACCGUAACUGACGCUGAGACACGAAAGCGUGGGUAGCAAACAGG
Molecule: ribosomal RNA, 253 nt
Filed under: uncultured bacterium
Lineage: Bacteria
Description: partial 16S ribosomal RNA
Rfam family: Bacterial small subunit ribosomal RNA
Source: RNAcentral